Molecule: ribosomal RNA, 253 nt
Filed under: uncultured bacterium
Lineage: Bacteria
Description: partial 16S ribosomal RNA
Rfam family: Bacterial small subunit ribosomal RNA
Source: RNAcentral
UACGAAGGGGGCUAGCGUUGUUCGGAAUCACUGGGCGUAAAGCGCACGUAGGCGGAUCCUUAAGUCAGGGGUGAAAUCCCGGGGCUCAACCUCGGAACUGCCUUUGAUACUGGGGAUCUUGAGUCCGGGAGAGGUGAGUGGAAUUGCGAGUGUAGAGGUGAAAUUCGUAGAUAUUCGCAAGAACACCAGUGGCGAAGGCGGCUCACUGGCCCGGUAUUGACGCUGAGGUGCGAAAGCGUGGGGAGCAAACAGG